UAACUGAAAAGUUUUUGAUAAUUUUUUAAAAGUUCAUUUUUUGUUAAUACUUUGCUUAUUUGCUUUUCUGAUUGUUUGAUGUUUUAUUUUUUGAUUUUACUUGGUUUAAUUUCUUCAGAAAAAAGUAUUUCUAAAAUACCCAUGACCACUAAAUUGAAAUUAUGUAUUUAUUAUUUAUUUAAUAUUUAAAAAAUUAAUGUGAUACUGUAUAUUUAUUUUGUAAUGUCUUUGUGUAACUGUGAUGACUUCCGUACGUUUAGUCUUAAUCAUUUGUUCAUAGUUAAAUAAAAAAAGAAAAAAAUCAUGAUUUAAGUGAUAAAUACAACGAAGUGUGUGAUUAUAGUAUUUUAAUAAAAUACCAGCAGUUCUUCCUUUCUAGAUGUAAAUUAUGUUUUACAUUAUGGAGCUCAUUUGUGCUGAUAUUUUCCCUAAGCAAAAAAAUUUGGUUUGCUAAAGGAACUUUUAGGCUGGUAAAAUGUAAUCGGGGUUAUCUGUGUCUUGCUUCUGACCGUAAUAUCAUGAAAGGUGGAUGAUGACUGCAAAAUAUUUUCUGAAAUUCCACUUUGAUUUUUUUUUUUUGUGGUUUUAGAAAGGCACAAGAAUGACAUUGCUCCUCUUCAUACAGUUUUUCGGGGAAAAACACACACACACACAUAAAAAAGCAAGAAACCUUUUAGUAAUGGUAGAUGCCCACUAAAUUAAUGAAAUUCUGCACCCGUUUGGCCUUAUUUUUUGUUUUUUUUUAAUCCACAAAGUGCCACUGCUCUCCAAUUAUCAAAUGACUCUUAACUAACCUAUUCCCCUUCUACUGGCUAGUGGAAGAAUAAAUGUUGAUUGUUAGGAAUAUCUUUUCUUGCCUAAAUGGCCAUUAAUAAAAUAUAAACUUGUGUAAUAAAUAUACAUACAAAUAUAUAUAUAUAUAUAUAUAUUUUAUUUUGAUGUUAAUUGCUUUGUCCUCAGCUGCUGUGUAGUUGCUCAGCGAAAGUAAACGUUACCAUAAAAUUAUGACCAUUUCCCUACUAGUAAGACCUUGUGAACUGUGGAUUUAUGCAUUCCAAUAAUGGUAGAAAAUAACAUAACAAAUUUAAUUGAUUAUUUGUUUUGGUCUGUAAAAAUUCAAUAAAAUGUUCUGUAUGUUGUAAUUAGGGAUUUUUGAACAGUAUCAUAUAGUCCAAAAGUAGAUUUGUGUUUUGCUGACUAUAAGAGUGCCUGCUUUUAUAUGGCAUAUCUGUAAAAUUUAGCUUUGGAUAGACCUGUCCAGUUCUGUGCAUUUCAGACCCAUUUGAUGUUAUUUAAAUGUGCUGAAAUGUCCAAGUUAUAUUAUCUAAAGAAAGAAAGAAAGAAAGAAAGAAAGAAAGAUGUUAUUGUUAGGACCGAAACAUUUUAAAGCAAUGGAAGAAAUGUCUAAUAUUUUCAUUGGCUUUCAAAGCAGAAUAUUAUGUUUAAUAUAAGACAAUAAAGCUUUGCCGGAAUUCCUACCAGCUAUACUAAUUCUGAAUAUAUUUAGCAUUUGAGGGAGGUUCACAAUAUGAUUAACUGGUAAUGUUUGCAUAAAUUCAGAUUUCUACACCUUGUGUUUUCCUUGAAUAUUUCCACACUGACUAGUCAUUAAGAAUUAUCCAAUACUGCUGUCCAAGUAAUUUGGUGCAUUGAGCUUGUAACCAGGCCAAGACGGCCUUCAGUAAUAUGUGGCGAUAGUGAAGGCCCAUAAUGCAUUUGAAACUCAUGAAUUUUCAUUUGUACAUAACAGGCUGCCUACUACAUUUUGACUAUGGAUGCAAUUUCUAGAAAGACAAAAUCCCCCAGUGAUCAUACAAGGAAAAUAACACUGAACACGUAAAAAGCUGGAUUAAAAAGGUCAAGCUGAAGAAAUGGUGUAGAUAGCUAAGAUUUAUAUUUUGAUGUAGGAUUUAAAAAGGAAUCUUUAGAAUGUUGAGUGUAUCAUUUGUUAUCCUAAACAGAACCAUGGAGUGUUCUCCACUGAAAGCUCCAGUUAGGUAAACCCAUUUACAUUUUGAUAGAACAUACAUUAAUUUUUUAUGCUGUCCAAUAAUAAUAUGUAUUUCUUUGAUGCUCAUUUUCUUCAUUACAGCAGAGCAACAUGUACAUUGUGGUUGAAUGUAGGUUUAUUCAUGUUGACAGAUUCUAUCAAAUUGUUUGCUUGCUAAGAGAUAGCACUGAUCAUAGGGAUAGUCUGGGAAAUGGUCUUUGAAGCUAACAAUAAAAAUAUCACUGCCCUAAAAGAAGCGCCUGAUUCUACAAACUAGAGCUGUCGUUAGCCUGUAGAAAGGACACUUUCGCACAAAUAUACAGCUUUUCUGUAUCACUAUCUUGGAGACAAGUCCACAGAUGCUUUUACUUUCUAAUUCAGCUCAUGAAACCACUGUGAUUUUCAAGUGUAGGUAAAGUCGGUAUAAAGUUGUAUUUUAGAAUGGAUUACCAUAUCAAUGUUAAUGGGAAUUAGGCCAUACACUUUGUUUUUUUUUAUAUGACUUUAAGUUUGAUUUUGCAAUAAGAAUGCCAGUAGGCUGGAGUGAUUGCUGGCCAAUUAAGUUACUCAUAAUAAAGUAAACGCACGUAGCUGUUAUUUGGAACAUGUUUGUGUUUUCAGAAGAAUUAUUGGUAAAUAAUUAAUAACUUCUCACUCACUCUUUUCAUUUUUUAUUCUAAGACUAAUGCCUUAGUUCAGGGGUGGGCAACACUAAAGAGAUGAUAGCAAAUAAAACUCUUUUGCAGCACAAAGGCAGUAAAAAUGACAUCACAAAUCACAACUGCUUUGAUCAGAUUAUAAAUAUUACUGCUCUUGUGGAUCCACAUUUCAAUUGGAUUCACUUUAAUGUGCAGUCUUGUUUUGUACAGAAUUUUGGUUUGGACCAGCCAACCAAAGUCUAGACUUCAUGUACAUAUAAUUUACUUGUUACUUGUUCAUGGAAUUGAUAUUGCUUCAAAGUUGAGUUUUAUGAGUUUAAUGCUGUGAGUGCCUCACAUUCAGUAUUACAUACUGGUCCACACCCAGCACAUUUGGGACGUUUAACUGUCUCCUGAAAAGGCUGUCCACAUGAACUAAGACUCAAAAGAGAACUCUGGAAAUGGAUUGUUCUUUUACUUUAUCUGUAAAUACAAGCAAAUAAAACGCAAAAAUACCUAUACAGACAGCUACCAGCUCCGCAAAUUAAGCAUUACAAUUUUGAAAGGAGCUAAUGACGCAUGUUGCCCACCCCCUGCCUUAUUUCCCUUAGAAAGCGUGAUAGCGUAGUUACUGAUUUUUCAAAAGAAACCAAGAAAGGCAUGUAUUUUUGGUAGGCUGGUAAUUUCUAAGCUGAUAAAACCAAAAUUCACAAGUAGGUACUGUAGCUUAAAUCUGUUUAGUUUUAUCACUUGUGCCUUUCUUACAUCAACAUAAAAAGGCAAGAAGGAUACCGUAUGUGUUGUUUACAUUUGGGAACUGGGUUCAAAUAUAACUCAGGAUGAUGCAAUGGAAAAGUCAAACCCUGUUCAGUUAGGGUGUCAAAAUAAAAAAAAUGAA
Molecule: long non-coding RNA, 3526 nt
Organism: Erpetoichthys calabaricus (reedfish)
Lineage: Eukaryota; Metazoa; Chordata; Cladistia; Polypteriformes; Polypteridae
Exons: 2
Source: RefSeq, a predicted model, not a curated record